GUGCUCACUUUGGCAGCAAAUACACUAAAAUUGGAACAAUACGGAGAAGAUUAGCAUGACCACUGCACAAGAUGUCUUGCAAUUUUUAAAAUUUUCACUUUAUAUAU
This 107-nucleotide small nuclear RNA is filed under the name Spermophilus dauricus (Daurian ground squirrel). Lineage: Eukaryota; Metazoa; Chordata; Mammalia; Rodentia; Sciuridae. The record is from RNAcentral.